Molecule: ribosomal RNA, 875 nt
Filed under: uncultured bacterium
Lineage: Bacteria
Description: bacterial SSU rRNA
Rfam family: Bacterial small subunit ribosomal RNA
Source: RNAcentral
CGGUAAUACGGGGUGGGCAAGCGUUGCCCGGAAUCACUGGGCUUAAAGGGGAUGUAGGCGGCCCGGCAAGUCGGGCGUGUAAUCUGACGGCUCAACCGUCAGGCUGCGCUCGAAACUGCCGGGCUUGAGGACGGCAGAGGAGAGCGGAACUCCCGGUGUAGCGGUGAAAUGCGUAGAUAUCGGGGGGAACGCCAGUGGGGAAGCCGGCUCUCUGGGCCGUUCCUGACGCUGAGGUCCGAAAGCCAGGGUAGCGAAGGGGAUUAGAUACCCCCGUAGUCCUGGCCGUAAACGAUGGGUGCUAGGUGUGGGGAACUUUUGUUCUCCGUGCCGCAGGGAAACCGUUAAGCACCCCGCCUGGGGAGUACGCCCGCAAGGGUGAAACUCAAAGGAAUUGACGGGGGCCCGCACAAGCGGUGGAGCGCGUGGUUCAAUUCGAUGCUAAGCGAAGAACCUUACCUGGGCUUGACAUGCCGGUGGUACCGACCCGAAAGGGAAGGGACCCGCCUUCGGGCGGGAGCCGGCACAGGUGCUGCACGGCUGUCGUCAGCUCGUGCCGUGAGGUGUUGGGUUAAGUCCCGCAACGAGCGCAACCCCUGCCCUUAGUUGCCAUCGGCUCCUAUAGGGAGGCCGGGCACUCUAAGGGGACUGCCGGCGAUGAGCCGGAGGAAGGUGGGGACGACGUCAAGUCUGUGUGGCCUUUAUGCCCAGGGCUACACACGCGCUACAAUGGGCGGUACAACGGGUUGCGACCCCGCGAGGGGAAGCUAAUCCCUUAAAACCGCCCCCAGUUCGGAUUGCAGGCUGCAACUCGCCUGCAUGAAGGCGGAAUCGCUAGUAAUCGCCAAUCAGCAUGUGGCGGUGAAUACGUUCCCGGG